This 429-nucleotide ribosomal RNA is filed under the name Chloroflexota bacterium. RNAcentral describes it as "Chloroflexi bacterium partial 16S ribosomal RNA". It matches the Rfam family "Bacterial small subunit ribosomal RNA", at positions 355 to 776 of the family's 1533-position model. Lineage: Bacteria; Bacillati; Chloroflexota. The record is from RNAcentral.
UGGGGAAUAUUGCACAAUGGACGCAAGCCUGAUGCAGCCAUGCCGCGUGUAGGAAGAAGGCCUUCGGGUUGUAAAGGACUGUCAGCGGGGAGGAAGGGAGUAAAGUUAAUACCGUUGCUCAUGGACGUUACCCGCAGAAGAAGCACCGGCUAACUCCGGGCCAGCAGCCGCGGGAAUACGGAGGGUGCAAGCGUGAAUCGGAAUUACUGGGCGUAAAGCGUACGCAGGCGGUUUGUUAAGUCAGAUGUGCAAUCCCCGGGCUGAACCUGGGAACUGCAUCUGAUACUGGCAAGCUUGAGUCUCGUAGAGGGAGGUAGAAUUCCAGGUGUAGCGGUGAAAUGCGUAGAGAUCUGGUGGAAUACCGGUGGCGAAGGCGGCCCCCUGGACGAAGACUGACGCUCAGGUGCGAAAGCGUGGGGAGCAAACAGG